GGGACACGUGGUAUCCUGUCUGAAUAUGGGGGGACCAUCCUCCAAGGCUAAAUACUCCUGACUGACCGAUAGUGAACCAGUACCGUGAGGGAAAGGCGAAAAGAACCCCGGCGAGGGGAGUGAAAAAGAACCUGAAACCGUGUACGUACAAGCAGUGGGAGCCUCUUUUAUGGGGUGACUGCGUACCUUUUGUAUAAUGGGUCAGCGACUUAUAUUCUGUAGCAAGGUUAACCGAAUAGGGGAGCCGAAGGGAAACCGAGUCUUAACUGGGCGUUAAGUUGCAGGGUAUAGACCCGAAACCCGGUGAUCUAGCCAUGGGCAGGUUGAAGGUUGGGUAACACUAACUGGAGGACCGAACCGACUAAUGUUGAAAAAUUAGCGGAUGACUUGUGGCUGGGGGUGAAAGGCCAAUCAAACCGGGAGAUAGCUGGUUCUCCCCGAAAGCUAUUUAGGUAGCGCCUCGUGAAUUCAUCUCCGGGGGUAGAGCACUGUUUCGGCAAGGGGGUCAUCCCGACUUACCAACCCGAUGCAAACUGCGAAUACCGGAGAAUGUUAUCACGGGAGACACACGGCGGGUGCUAACGUCCGUCGUGAAGAGGGAAACAACCCAGACCGCCAGCUAAGGUCCCAAAGUCAUGGUUAAGUGGGAAACGAUGUGGGAAGGCCCAGACAGCCAGGAUGUUGGCUUAGAAGCAGCCAUCAUUUAAAGAAAGCGUAAUAGCUCACUGGUCGAGUCGGCCUGCGCGGAAGAUGUAACGGGGCUAAACCAUGCACCGAAGCUGCGGCAGCGACGCUUAUGCGUUGUUGGGUAGGGGAGCGUUCUGUAAGCCUGUGAAGGUGUACUGUGAGGUAUGCUGGAGGUAUCAGAAGUGCGAAUGCUGACAUAAGUAACGAUAAAGCGGGUGAAAAGCCCGCUCGCCGGAAGACCAAGGGUUCCUGUCCAACGUUAAUCGGGGCAGGGUGAGUCGACCCCUAAGGCGAGGCCGAAAGGCGUAGUCGAUGGGAAACAGGUUAAUAUUCCUGUACUUGGUGUUACUGCGAAGGGGGGACGGAGAAGGCUAUGUUGGCCGGGCGACGGUUGUCCCGGUUUAAGCGUGUAGGCUGGUUUUCCAGGCAAAUCCGGAAAAUCAAGGCUGAGGCGUGAUGACGAGGCACUACGGUGCUGAAGCAACAAAUGCCCUGCUUCCAGGAAAAGCCUCUAAGCAUCAGGUAACAUCAAAUCGUACCCCAAACCGACACAGGUGGUCAGGUAGAGAAUACCAAGGCGCUUGAGAGAACUCGGGUGAAGGAACUAGGCAAAAUGGUGCCGUAACUUCGGGAGAAGGCACGCUGAUAUGUAGGUGAAGUCCCUCGCGGAUGGAGCUGAAAUCAGUCGAAGAUACCAGCUGGCUGCAACUGUUUAUUAAAAACACAGCACUGUGCAAACACGAAAGUGGACGUAUACGGUGUGACGCCUGCCCGGUGCCGGAAGGUUAAUUGAUGGGGUCAGCGCAAGCGAAGCUCUUGAUCGAAGCCCCGGUAAACGGCGGCCGUAACUAUAACGGUCCUAAGGUAGCGAAAUUCCUUGUCGGGUAAGUUCCGACCUGCACGAAUGGCGUAAUGAUGGCCAGGCUGUCUCCACCCGAGACUCAGUGAAAUUGAACUCGCUGUGAAGAUGCAGUGUACCCGCGGCAAGACGGAAAGACCCCGUGAACCUUUACUAUAGCUUGACACUGAACAUUGAGCCUUGAUGUGUAGGAUAGG
Molecule: ribosomal RNA, 1743 nt
Filed under: Escherichia coli
Lineage: Bacteria; Pseudomonadati; Pseudomonadota; Gammaproteobacteria; Enterobacterales; Enterobacteriaceae
Description: partial 23S ribosomal RNA
Rfam family: Bacterial large subunit ribosomal RNA
Source: RNAcentral